This is a long non-coding RNA of Spea bombifrons (plains spadefoot toad), 662 nucleotides long. RefSeq lists it as uncharacterized. The record is from RefSeq and is a predicted model, not a curated record. NCBI's taxonomy places the organism in Eukaryota, Metazoa, Chordata, Amphibia, Anura, Pelobatidae. The transcript has 2 exons.
AAAUAUAUAGAAAAUGAGCAGCCUCCUCAAUCAUUGAGUCACAACCAAAUCUCAGUCACAAGGGUUAGUACUGAUUCCACUAGGCUUGUUCUGUACGCUUCUGUCUACUUUUCACCAACUUUCCACCACCUUCUGAUAACUAGGGCUAUCUCUGACCCUAUGCUCAGGGAGCCCUCCCCAGUCAUGCCCUAUAAGGAGCAGGGGCAGGAGAUCUUCAGGCAGUCAGCUUUGGGAAAUUCCCAGGUAUGGUCACUAUAUAGACAUGUCAGGUAAAGGAUAACCACCUGGCCACAGCCUGCAAGUAUUGCUGAAUUAGGCUUUCAAUUUAGCCAGCGUCCCGGCCCUUGUUUACAAGCUAUCUCCCUGGCAAAAUAUAAAAAUGCAGAGUUAGCCCCUAGCAUAAUGAUUAACAUUCCAGCAAAUGUGUUUUUAAUUCAGCAAGGACAAUUGAGAAUUUAGUUUGUUAUGUCAGUAAGGAAAAAUGCUUCUUGGAAACUAAUGCAACAGAAAAAAAAACAGGGAAGUAUAUUCUUAACUUCCAAAGAGUUGUCAGAAUAACUGUGAUCAUUAGACAAAAAAUAUAGUGAGUUCUCAUCCCCUUAAGCCAAGACACAUUUUUCCAUGCAGCUGGAUGCGUUGUCAGACUUUGAAAAAAUAUGAAA